Long non-coding RNA from Numida meleagris (helmeted guineafowl), 2464 nucleotides. RefSeq lists it as uncharacterized. Lineage: Eukaryota; Metazoa; Chordata; Aves; Galliformes; Numididae. The record is from RefSeq and is a predicted model, not a curated record. The transcript is spliced from 4 exons.
CACAAUUAUAUUUUAUCUUGUAACUUUCAUUAUUUUCUCUCUUAACAUUGGCGUAACAAUCCUGUUUGUUUAGAAUAUUAAAGUAGUUGUUUUUAAAAUAUUAGGGUGACAUUCUAAAUCUAAUAACAGUGUAUUUUUAGAUCAUCUGUGGUACUGAUUCGCUGGUAUUUAUGGGAACUGAACUGAAUAAAAUGGGAGUACUGUAUUUCAGUGCCAGUUUUCAUGCUAAAAUGGAAGCUAUACAGAAUUCAUUAUUUACUUUUGGCUACUAACCAUUACAUUGGAAGUAGAGUAACUAAUGAAUUAAUAACAAAUGUAAACAAAGGUGUGGCAAUGGCUAGAAAACUGGGACUACUGUUAUCAGAAGGGAAGUUAUGUUAAACACCUGGUAUCAAAUUGUUCCUUACGUGAGUAAUUCUCUACCAUCAUCAGGCACAAAAUGGCUAAAAGGCAGCAAAUCUUAUGGAUUGAGAGAUUGUAACAGGCUUGUGACAGCCUGGUAACCUGGACAAAGAUCAGAUGGCUGCAAAAAACAGAGAAAAAGAGAGAUCGUUUGGAGCUUGAAAAAGUUUUGCUUGCUUUCACUGCGACUGAUCAGAUGAGUAGGACCAGAGCUCUUAUUGAAUCGAGUCACUAAAAGCAAUUCUGGAAAGGUGACCUAAUCAACCAGGCUGGUGGAUACAGUGGGGAGGAGGAGGAGGAAAGGGAAGGUGACAGGGACUUGGCCUGAGUUCCUGCACUGCCAGCAACAGCAACAGUCCUGCUAUGAUUCUAUUUGAGAUGCUGAGGAGAAAUGAAACUAUCACCUGAUAGAGAAUAGAAAAGAGUGACACGCUUAUAGAACUCAGGGAAAGAGGUAAGUAAUAGCCUGAUAACACACUCCAAAGAAAGCAGAACUGCUGAAGAGCAUCCUGUUCCUCUCUUCAAAGGCCCAUCAGACAGGGCACAGCUGAAGUGGCACUGAAAGCUGCAUCACUCGGCUGUGGGGUGAAGAGUUCUUUGUGUUGUAAGCCCGACAGAAACUCUGCACUGUGAAGUAGUAUAAUGCCUUCAGGUUUAAAUCCAAGCCAGCACCACCACUGCUUCCAGAGCAGCAAUGCUUACGUCCUGUGCCAAUGGACUGUAAAUUCAGAAAUACACAAAACAGCUCAGCUUAGUAAACCUAACAGCUCAAUUCUGCUGUGGAUUGCUUUGUUUUGUUUUCAGUUUAAGCAGGCUCAGGAGGUGCCUGUAUUACAUGUAUAAGUAUUUAGAGGGGAAAAAAGCGCAGCUCACAAAACCAUUCAAUGGAUUGUAGUUUGUCGAAGAAAACUUGAAUGAAAAAUACAACGCAUUAUUAGAUAAAACCAGGCUGGAAGACAACAUUCACAGACUGAUGCUCCUGAUGAUACGCACCGUACCUAACCAAGGAUAUCACCUCCUUACAUCCAGUACGACAGCUGGAUAUCCUUUCCAAACUUACCCCCAUGACCGGUUGAAUUCUCAUCCUUCUGUGUGCUUCAGCUCCAUUGUACACUUCAGAGACAUUUUUUCACAAGCUCCUAACAAGUUGCUUGGGUUCCGUAAUUACUGACAGCAAACUGAGUCAAAAUGCCAAGUGUGAUUACUCUUUCUCAGUGCCUGGAGCCACACAAAUUAAGUGCAUAAAGCGCUGUGUGCAUCCCCAGAGAGCUAGCGGGCCAGCUACUGACCACAGUACUUCCAAGAGCAGGUCUAACAGCAGCAAUGAUUUUUAGCUAUGGAUUACCUUAAAGAAUAAAGUCUGAAUAAUGUCUUGAACAUGUCUGGUAUUCCCAGAUGGCAUUGUAAUAUCCUGAAAAAAUCUAUGGCCACCGAGCAUCUGAACAGCACUACAUGUGAGCUGUAAAUGUCUAUGACUGGUCAUUAUUCAUAUGGGGUAAAUAAAGAGGGAAAUACGUCAUACAGAGUUGAAAUGAUGGAGUCGGGCCAGGACAGCCAGUCCGCUCGCAUUCUGAGUGAUGCUGCUAGGCAAUGACAGUCCUAAUGUACUCAUCUCCCUUAACCCUGCUCACGGUGAUUUACUGUUCCUCUCUCACUACUUGCACAGACAGCAGGGGAAGAGACCAAGUGGUAAUUUUUCCCUACACCAAGUAUUCAGUUUCUCAAACAAACGGAUAGUAUGGCUCUAAAAAAGAUAGUCAUAAAUGAAGCUUUGUUAAAACUUCCUGAUCAACGAUAAUGUGAUCCAUUUAUUUAAUUUCUGUUGUAUGCAUUACCGAAUUAGCUGAGCACAAUUUCUGUACAAGACAAGUGAAAAAAUCAUGAAGAAUUAAAAGUCCGUGUGGUCACAAGACAAGUCACGUUAGCAUACCUUGGCCUUGCCAGAUCCUCUGUGACCGCUUUGUUUUACUUCCCUUUUUAAUUUAAAAAUACAAUUCCUGAUGAUUCUGAGGAGCUUAAACCUGCUUCUAUCUAUUAAAGGAAAAGGUACAGUUCUUCUCAG